UGUAAUGUAACUUAUAUUUAUAUAAUAUAAUUUUUUAUUACAUCUUGUCUAUGAUGCUCUAUACCGGUGGUUCGCGAACCCCUGGGGGUUCGUGGGAUAUGCAAAAGGGUAACUUUGUAUGUACUCGGAUUUUUAUUAGGGGUUCGCGAAGAAAAAAAGGUUGGGAAACACUGCUCUAUAGAGAAACAUUUGUCGCUCCAUCAAAUGCAGAUGACAAUGUUCGUGAUGUCCCACUGCAAGCAAAUGAUGAUGACGAUGAUGAUAAUAUUAAUGUUGAUCCAUUGCCAGCCAUCUAUGAUAAUUAAGUAAAACCAGCCCGGGAACAGGCGCUUCGCGACGAUGAUAUUUAUAAAAUAAGAGAUUGUGGUGGCGUGGUAACGUCAUUAAUGAUUAACCCCGAUUCGAACAGAUGAGUGGGGAUGAGUUGCGUUUUGAGUUCAGUUGAAUAAAUGUAGUCAUCGAAUACGCUACAAUGGAUGGUUACUGUAUUAAUAAUAACUUAAAGAAUCGAGCAACAACAACAACAACCAAUGAAUGAACCGCCAUCUUUAUAUAAUCCUUACGAUUCGAACCAGAUGAUUUAUUAUACUGAUUACUAUU
Non-coding RNA from Dermatophagoides farinae (American house dust mite), 600 nucleotides. The record is from RefSeq and is a predicted model, not a curated record. NCBI's taxonomy places the organism in Eukaryota, Metazoa, Arthropoda, Arachnida, Sarcoptiformes, Pyroglyphidae.